Molecule: ribosomal RNA, 541 nt
Filed under: uncultured bacterium
Lineage: Bacteria
Description: bacterial SSU rRNA
Rfam family: Bacterial small subunit ribosomal RNA
Source: RNAcentral
CUACGGGAGGCAGCAGUGGGGAAUAUUGGACAAUGGGGGAAACCCUGAUCCAGCCAUGCCGCGUGUGUGAAGAAGGCCCUCGGGUUGUAAAGCACUUUCAGCGAGGAAGAACGCCUAGCGGUUAAUACCCGCUAGGAAAGACAUCACUCGCAGAAGAAGCACCGGCUAACUCCGUGCCAGCAGCCGCGGUAAUACGGAGGGUGCAAGCGUUAAUCGGAAUUACUGGGCGUAAAGCGCGCGUAGGUGGCUUGAUAAGCCGGUUGUGAAAGCCCCGGGCUCAACCUGGGAACGGCAUCCGGAACUGUCAAGCUAGAGUGCAGGAGAGGAAGGUAGAAUUCCCGGUGUAGCGGUGAAAUGCGUAGAGAUCGGGAGGAAUACCAGUGGCGAAGGCGGCCUUCUGGACUGACACUGACACUGAGGUGCGAAAGCGUGGGUAGCAAACAGGAUUAGAUACCCUGGUAGUCCACGCCGUAAACGAUGUCGACCAGCCGUUGGGUGCCUAGCGCACUUUGUGGCGAAGUUAACGCGAUAAGUCGACCGA